This 199-nucleotide long non-coding RNA is filed under the name Daucus carota (carrot). RNAcentral describes it as "long non-coding RNA (DCAR_LNC001963)". Lineage: Eukaryota; Viridiplantae; Streptophyta; Magnoliopsida; Apiales; Apiaceae. The record is from RNAcentral.
ACCUUCCCUCGUGAAGUUCAGGUAUGGGGAAGGAACUGUGUGCGUGCGUGGGUUGUUUAAGUGUUUCGUUCGUUAAUAAAAAUCCCCUUCAUAUCCAUUUCAGGUAUUUUUCUCUUUACUCUCUCAUUUCAAUUCUAUCUUUUGCAUACAUUGAGGACAAUGCAUGAUUUAGGUAUGGGGAGGGCUUUAGUGUAAUUCU